UUCUUAUCCAGAGAGGUGGAGGGAACGGCCCGAAGAAACCUCAGCAACCAGCCACGAUCCUGUGGUCAGGUGCUAAUUCCUGCAAGCAUUAUUUGCUUGAGAGAUAAGAG
RNAcentral lists this non-coding RNA (110 nucleotides) under Halalkalibacterium halodurans. RNAcentral's name for it is "Bacillus halodurans SAM-I sequence". It matches the Rfam family "SAM riboswitch aptamer (S box leader)". From Rfam's summary of the family: The SAM riboswitch is found upstream of a number of genes which code for proteins involved in methionine or cysteine biosynthesis in Gram-positive bacteria. The SAM riboswitch acts at the level of transcription termination control. RNAcentral also lists the same sequence under 1 other name. The record is from RNAcentral. Lineage: Bacteria; Bacillati; Bacillota; Bacilli; Caryophanales; Bacillaceae.